AGAGUUUGAUCCUGGCUCAGGAUGAACGCUAGCGGCAGGCUUAAUACAUGCAAGUCGUGGGGCAGCGCGGGUAGCAAUACCUGGCGGCGACCGGCAAACGGGUGCGGAACACGUACGCAACCUUCCUUUAAGCGGGGAAUAGCCCAGGGGAAACUUGGAUUAAUACCCCAUAAGAUAAUCGGGUGGCAUCACCUGACUAUUAAAGCUCCGGCACUUAAAGAUGGGCGUGCGGCUGAUUAGGUAGUUGGCGGGGUAACGGCCCACCAAGCCGACGAUCAGUAACUGGUGUGAGAGCACGACCAGUCACACGGGCACUGAGACACCGGCCCGACUCCUACGGGAGGCAGCAGUAAGGAAUAUGGGUCCAUGGACGCAAGUCUGAACCAACCAUGCCCGCGUGGAGGAUGAUAGGCCCUCUGGGGUUGUAAACUUCUUU
This 436-nucleotide ribosomal RNA is filed under the name uncultured bacterium. RNAcentral describes it as "bacterial SSU rRNA". It matches the Rfam family "Bacterial small subunit ribosomal RNA", at positions 8 to 436 of the family's 1533-position model. The record is from RNAcentral.